AUACGUAGGUGGCAAGCGUUAUCCGGAAUUAUUGGGCGUAAAGAGUGAGCAGGCGGUUAAUUAAGUCUGAGGUUAAAGCGUGGGGCUCAACCCCAUAAAGCCUUGGAAACUGAUUGACUAGAGUACGGGAGAAGUGAAGGGAACUCCAUGUGUAGCGGUGAAAUGCGUAGAUAUAUGGAAGAACACCAGUGGUGAAGGCGCUUCACUAGCCCGAAACUGACGCUCAGUCACGAAAGCGUGGGUAGCAAAUAGGAUUAGAUACCCUAGUAGGCCACGCUAUAAACGAUGACAACGAAAUAUUGCCGCGAGGCAGUGUUGAAGCUAACGCAUUAAGUUGUCCGCCUGGGGAGUACGGUCGCAAGACUGAAACUUAAAGGAAUUGACAGGG
Molecule: ribosomal RNA, 388 nt
Filed under: uncultured bacterium
Lineage: Bacteria
Description: partial 16S ribosomal RNA
Rfam family: Bacterial small subunit ribosomal RNA
Source: RNAcentral